RNAcentral lists this ribosomal RNA (462 nucleotides) under Staphylococcus pseudintermedius. RNAcentral describes it as "bacterial SSU rRNA". It matches the Rfam family "Bacterial small subunit ribosomal RNA", at positions 1 to 452 of the family's 1533-position model. The record is from RNAcentral. Lineage: Bacteria; Bacillati; Bacillota; Bacilli; Caryophanales; Staphylococcaceae.
UUUAUGGAGAGUUUGAUCCUGGCUCAGGAUGAACGCUGGCGGCGUGCCUAAUACAUGCAAGUCGAGCGAACAGAUAAGGAGCUUGCUCCUUUGACGUUAGCGGCGGACGGGUGAGUAACACGUGGGUAACCUACCUAUAAGACUGGAAUAACUCCGGGAAACCGGGGCUAAUGCCGGAUAACAUGUUGAACCGCAUGGUUCUACAGUGAAAGACGGUCUUGCUGUCACUUAUAGAUGGACCCGCGCCGUAUUAGCUAGUUGGUGGGGUAACGGCCUACCAAGGCGACGAUACGUAGCCGACCUGAGAGGGUGAUCGGCCACACUGGAACUGAGACACGGUCCAGACUCCUACGGGAGGCAGCAGUAGGGAAUCUUCCGCAAUGGGCGAAAGCCUGACGGAGCAACGCCGCGUGAGUGAUGAAGGUCUUCGGAUCGUAAAGCUCUGUUGUUAGGGAAGAACAA